RNAcentral lists this ribosomal RNA (776 nucleotides) under uncultured Rhodocyclaceae bacterium. RNAcentral's name for it is "bacterial SSU rRNA". It matches the Rfam family "Bacterial small subunit ribosomal RNA", at positions 554 to 1327 of the family's 1533-position model. Lineage: Bacteria; Pseudomonadati; Pseudomonadota; Betaproteobacteria; Rhodocyclales; Rhodocyclaceae. The record is from RNAcentral.
CUGGGCGUAAAGCGUGCGCAGGCGGUCCAUAAGACAGAUGUGAAAUCCCCGGGCUUAACCUGGGAACUGCGUUUGUGACUGUGGGACUUGAGUGUGGCAGAGGGGGGUGGAAUUCCACGUGUAGCAGUGAAAUGCGUAGAGAUGUGGAGGAACACCGAUGGCGAAGGCAGCCCCCUGGGUCAACACUGACGCUCAUGCACGAAAGCGUGGGGAGCAAACAGGAUUAGAUACCCUGGUAGUCCACGCCCUAAACGAUGCGAACUAGGUGUUGGGGAAGGAGACUUUCUUAGUACCGCAGCUAACGCGUGAAGUUCGCCGCCUGGGGAGUACGGUCGCAAGAUUAAAGCUCAAAGGACUUGACGGGGACCCGGACAAGCGGUGGAUGAUGUGGAUGAAUUCGGUGCAACGCGAAAAGCCUUACCUGCCCUUGACGUGUCGGGAAUUUCUGGAUGAGAGGUGGAAGUGCCCGAAAGGGAACCUGAACACAGGUGCUGCAUGGCAGUCGUCAGCUCGUGUCGUGAGAUGCUGGGUUAAGUCCCGCAACGAGCGCAACCCUUGUCAUUAAUUGCCAUCAUUCAGUUGGGCACUUUAAUGAGACUGCCGGUGACAAACCGGAGGAAGGUGGGGAUGACGUCAAGUCCUCAUGGCCCUUAUGGGUAGGGCUUCACACGUCAUACAAUGGUCGGUACAGAGGGUUGCCAACCCGCGAGGGGGAGCCAAUCCCACAAAGCCGAUCGUAGUCCGGAUCGCAGUCUGCAACUCGACUGCGUGAAGUC